This 71-nucleotide non-coding RNA is filed under the name Elusimicrobiota bacterium. Its description in RNAcentral is "Elusimicrobia bacterium Fluoride sequence". It matches the Rfam family "Fluoride riboswitch aptamer (crcB RNA motif)". Lineage: Bacteria; Pseudomonadati; Elusimicrobiota. The record is from RNAcentral.
UAUAUGUUAGGAGAUGGAGUUCUCCAUUAAUCGCUUCAACGUUUUUAAAGGCUGAUAACUCCUACGAUUAA